UUUAUAACUUCAAGAAAAUACUACUAAAUUUGGAACAAAAGACAUUUUACAGCUAAAGAAUCAGCUGAUACUGUUGCAACUGAAAAGAGCCCGUUUAAACAAUGUAUUGUCUAGUUUAUGAAAUGGAGCACACCAGCAUUCUUUACCCAAGCAGAAGAGAUAUGGAAGUGGAAAAAUUAAUGUCAUUAUUUAAAUAUCAAGAAGCAAAUGGGACUGAAGCCACAGGGAAGGUCCCAGAGGACUGGUGAGUAGCCAAUGUUCUUUUAUUCAGGAAGGGAACCAAGGAUAAUCCUGGAAACUAUAGACUGGUGAGUCCACGUCACCGGUUGGGUUCUUUUGAAGACCCUGACCUGGAGUUACACGCAGACUACGGUUCUCUGCGGGAAUGGGACCGGCUCUCGGGGUUUCACAACUGGCCAUUGUUCGAUGUGCCAAGGGCUUGGCCUAAGAGCUUCGCUUGCCUUCAGGGGUUCAAGAUCUCAUGGCUCUGGAGACGUGUGGACUGACAGUUGGUGACUCUGCAGGAAUCCAGUGUGUCGUGGGAGACGAAAGAUCGAAAGCAGCGAGCAGGCUGCUGGCUGUGCGCCCAGGGACCCGAGUUCUUUGGGCACAGAGCUAAGAAAAAUGACGGAACGGACUUUUAACAUUGUAAACCAGCGACAUGUUUGUCAUGUCUCCCCUCUCACUGUGAAACAGAGACAUCUCUUUCUCUCUUAUUUAGGAGAGAGAGAGCCUGUGGUAUGUUGAAUACCGGGUGAACAAGUAGUCUUUGGGGUACUGCAAGUCUGUGUCUUUAUUGAUGCUUUGCUGCAUGCUUGAGUGCUCGGUGGGGGUGCCGAUGCUUUUUACUCGCUGGUGGGGGAGUGGGGGAAUCAUUGCUUUGCUGCUGCUGCUGAUGUAUGGGAGGGGGAGCUGGGGUGGUCUUGGGGUUCAAACAUUUAACUGUCAUUCAUUCUAUGGGAGCACUCCUCUGCUUUUGUGGAUGGUUGCUAAGAAGUUUUUCAGGAUAUAUAUUGUAUACAUUUCUCUGACAUUAAAUGUACCUUUGAAACCUUUGAUAUUUUCUGUCUAAGGAGUCAAGGGCCAGUGGACUUAGUUUGAGAAUAUGGAGUAGGAUGUUAGGACUGAGAAGAGAAAUUUCUACUCUCUGAGGAUGAUAAACCUUUGAAAUUCUCUCACGUUGUCACGUGGAGGCUCAAUCAAUAUGUCCACUCAAAACAGAAGCUGGCAGAUUUCUAGGUAUUAAGGGAAUCAAAGCAUAUGGAGACAAUGCUGGAAAACAGUGCUGAGCUGAAAGGUCAGCCAUGACCUUGAUGAAUGUUGGGGCAGCCUCCAAGGGCCCUUUGCCUUUCUCCUGCUUCUAUUUUUUAAGUCCUUAUGUUCAUUUUAGUUAAAGCACUCAAGACAGAUACACAAUGAUCUGGAACUGGAGAACCAGAAAGGAGUGCAUUACAGGGCUGAACUAAAUGCAGGAAAGCAAAGCAAUGGACCAAGUAUCAGAAAGUAUUGCUACCAAAUGUACCAAUAUUCUCUUUCAAAAAUUAUUCUCCACUAUAGAAUAGUAAAUAUUCAAGUGAAACCAAGAAAUAGCAUCUAUUCCCCUCACGGGCAACUCUGUGAAUUCUGUUCUUCAUACUAAAUAAUUCUGUGAAGUGGAAAAAUUUCCUCUAAGUCUUGUAGCUCCAGGCCAUUUUCUCAAUGGGUUCACCAAACAUCCCAAAAUCACCCAGUAUUAGGAAAUUCACUAAACUACAUUGCUGAUGUUAUCACUGACUCACCCCCUAUUGAAUAUGUAAUAAAACGGAAAGUUUGGGAAAUGCUCAGUAGGUCAGGCAGCACCUAAGGAGAGAGAUACACGAGGUUAAUAUUAAUAUUGUUUCAGAUUUCCAGCAUCCAUAGUAUUUUGCUUUUGAAUAUUGAUUGUGUUAUUUUGCUAAUUUCUAUUUAUAUCAUAUUACGUCCUAUUCAAAGCUGAAUAAAUAAUUCAGAGAUUGAAUAUCCAUCUGGGAAUAGUUUCAAAGCAUGCCGAUAGUCCUGAUGAAGGGUCUUAGCCAGAAACAUCGGCUUUUUAUUGCUCUGCAUAGAUACUGCCUGACCUGCUAAGUUCCUCCAGCUUUUUGUGUGUGUUACUUCUGGUUUCUAUAUCUGCAAAAUCUCUUGUGGUUUAGAUCAUCCUGAAAUGAUGUAUAAUGGUUUAUGUCAGUAUAGUGUUAAAUUUCAUUCUUGAGCAGCCAAUAUACUUUCUGCAAUAAGUAAGUUACUUUAUCCUUAAUAUGCUGGUUAUCACCACCUGCAAAAUUUAUAUGAUACAUGGAAGCCAUUAGAACAUAGACUCUAGAACAAUACAGUACAGGGGAGGCUCUUCAGCCCACAAUGUUGUGCUGAACUAAAUAAGCUCCUAAUACCUAAUUAAUCUAUUAUGCCUGCACAUGGCCCAUAUCCCUCCAUUAUCUGAACAUUCAUGAGCUUCUUAAGUGCCUCCACCAUUACUCUUAGCAUCACAUACCAGGCGCCCACCACUCUCUGUGUAAAGACACCUACCCCACAAGUCUCCUUUGAACACCCCCCUCUCAACUUAAGUUAGACAUUUGUACCCUGCAGGAAAGGCUGUAUGCUCUAUCUAACCUUUUAAAAAUUUUAUAAACUUCUUGCAGGUUUCCUCUGCCUUCGUCACUCCAGAGCAAUCAAUUCAGAUUUAUCGAAUUGAAUUGACAUUAUUUCUUACAUCCUUCACAUACACGAGUAAAGAUAUUUACGUUACAUCUCCAUCUAAAUGUGCAAUCGUGGUAAUUUAUAGUAAAUAGAACAGUCAACGUAACAUAGAAAUACACUCAAAUCAGCAUGAGUUAAUCAGUUUGAUGGCCUGGUGGAAGAAGCUGUCCCAGAGCAGGUUGGUCCUGGCUUUUAUGCUGCGGUACUGUUCCCCAGAUGGUAGCAGCUGGAAUAGAUUGUGGUUGGGGUGACACGAGUCCCCAAUGAUCCUUCGGGCCCUUUUCUCAUACCUAUCCUUGUAAGUGUCCUGAAUCAUGGGAAGUUCACAACUGCAGAUGUACUGGGCUGUCCACACCACUCUCUGCAGGAUCCUGCAAUUAAGGGAGAUACAGUUCCCAUACCAGGCAGUAAUGCAGCCAGUCAGGAUGCUCUCAAUUGUGCCCCUGUAGAAACUUCUGAGGAUUUUUGGGCCCAUACCAAACUUUCUCAACCGUCUGAGGUGAAAGAGGCACUGUUGUGCCUUUUUCACCACACAGCUGGUAUGUACAGACCAGGUGAGAUUCUUGGUGAUGUGUAUGCUGAGGAACUUAAAGCUGUUCACCCUCUCAACCCCAGAUCCAUUGAUAUCAAUAGGGGUUAGCCCAUCUCCAUUCCUUCUGUAAUCCAUAACCAGCUCUUUUGUUUUCUGACAUUGAGGGAGAGGUUGUUUUCUUGACACCACUGUGUCAGAGAGAUGACUUCUUCCCUGUAGGCCACCUCAUUAUUGUUUAAGAUUAGGCAAUCAAUAUAGUGUUGUUGGCAAAUAUAGUUAGCAGAUUAGAGCUGUGGGGGGCAACACAAGUCGUGGGUAUAUAGAGAGUAAAGGAGGGGACUCAGUACACAGCCCUGAGGAGCUCCUGUAUUGAGAGUCAGAGGGGUGAGGUGAGGGAGCCCACUCUUUUCACCUGCUGGCAAUCUGACAGGAAGGGCAGGGUCCACCUGCACAAGGCAGGGUCAAGGCUGACAUCUCUGAGCUUCCUGUUGAGCCUGGAUGGAAUUAUGAUGUUGAAUGCUGAACUGUAGGCCAAGAACAGCAUUCUCACAUAAGCAUCCAUCUUAGAGCAGUGGCUAUUACAUCGUCUGUUGAUCAGUUGUGUCAGUAGGCAAAUUGUAAGGAGUCCAGUUUGGGUGGUAGCGUGCUGUAGAUAUACUCCUUGACCAGCCUCUCAAAGCCUUUGCUUAUUAUUGAGGUGAGUGCGACAGGACACCAGUUGUUCAGGCAUGUUGGUCUUUUUUGGUACAGGGACAAUGGUAGAUAAUUUGAAGCAGGAGGGCACUUUACACUGGGAGAGGGAGAGAGUAAAAAUGCCUGUAAACACAGCUGCCGGUUGUGCUGCACAUAUCCUGAGUACUCACCCUGAGAUGCCUCCAGUCCCACAACCUUGUGACUGCCCACCCGUUGGAAACAUCUGUAUAACCUCAACCUCAGGGAUGACUAGAUUGCGGGUUGUAGCGGUGGCUUUCCUCGGAGGCUCAGAGUUAGCGGUAUCGAAACGAGCGUAAAAGUGAUUGAGCUCAUCUGGGAGAGAGGCCAUGAUGUUGGCGGCACCACUAUGCUUGGCUUUGAGACUGCAAUGGUAUGCAACCCUCGCCACCAGCCAUGUGUGCUAUUCAUUGUGAAUCUUGUCCCUGUAUUGUUGUUUUGCAGCCUUGAUUGCUUUGCGCAGAUCGUAGCUGUUUUUCUUUGGCUUCUGCUGAUUGCCGGUGAUGUAAGCUCUAUGUCACGUGGUAAGUGCUGCUUGCACUAAACUAUUGUUCCAGGAUUUCUGGUUUGGGAAGACCCUGACAGAGGUGUAGAGGACAACAUCAUUGAUGCACUUCUGGAUGAAGCACAUGACUCCAUCCGUGAACUUGGAGACAUCCUCGUUAUGGAAGACAUUCCAGUUGAUGUCAUUGAAGCAGUCCUACUGCAUGGAAACUGAUUGGUCGGACCAACAAGGGACUGUUUUAGCUAUGGCCGCCUCUUGUUCUGAUCCAAACUCUCUUCACAGAACUUGCUCUCGAAUUUAGGCAUUCUCUUGGUAAACCUCUCUGCGCUCUUCCCAAAGCCCCCACAUCUUUCCUAUAAUGGGGUUAUCAGAAUUGAAUGCAAUACUCUAGAUGUUGCCUAGCCAGAGUUCUACAAAGCUGUUACAUAACUUGCUAGCUCUUCAACUCAUUGCUUUGACUAAUUAAUGCAAGCAUGCUCUAUGCCUUCUUUACCACCCUAUCAGCUUGUGCGAGUUGUUACGUAUCCCUUAACUGGAUCACAUACCAGCAAAGAUAGAGAGGUCCGUUGAAGUCUGAUGGUACUAUUUUUAAAAGUCUUUAUUUUAUAAAGGGACACAAAAGUAAGGUUAAUGCAAACAUGCAGAUAAUAUACGUCGUCAAUGCUCCAUCUAAAGCGUGGGUAUAGUAAUAAUCAUCAAUAAGAAAUAGUUCUAUCGUUUGUCUAGGGGAUAAUACUGAGUCCGAUGGAAAUAUAAAAGUCACUCAGAAGUCUGCAGGCUUCAGCCUUUUGGGGAAUUGCUGGGUUUCACUUGUUAGAAAGAGAGACUUGUAAAAAAAGAAACUUGCCCAGUCGUUUAUGAAGCAAAUCCAUUGAAUCGGGAACGUUGGUUCCCCGUUGUUAGUUCGAAGUCCUUUUCGGUGUUAUCAGCCACCCGGUCCCUAGGCAAAGGAGAACGGGACGCACGUGGCUUUAAAUGGCUUCCCGCUAGCACGGGAGCACUGAGCGAUGGUGUGUCUUUCUGGUGCGUCGCUGGGAUACCGCCUCCUGCAGUCCCCUUUUAUCUUGACUUGCAGAGUUGUAGAUGUCCAUCAAAGUAGGGUGAUGCAAUCCCCACCCCCACAUUGCCCGAGGGGGUCCGUGUCCCUGGUAGAUGGUAGCAGGGAGUUGCAAUUCACACAGGUGACUCUAAGAACAAUGGUCAAAACCAUUGCAUUGUCUCUCAUUUCCUGGGUCUGAGACCCGAAUUAAUAGUGAUCUUGCAAUUCUCCGGAAGGAGGGGGCUGCUCCCGCCCCUUCCACCCCUCAGAGCUGUGGUACAUUCAUAACAGUGUGACCACUUUCGGGGAACUCUGAACUUGGACCCCAAGAUCUCUAACUAACUGCAAAGUUAUGUUUUCUUUCCAAUGAAGUGGUGGAGAGACACAAAAACCUCAGAAGUCAAUUACUCUGGGAAGCUUGUAAGCUUUGCAAGCAUUAGUGUUCAUGCAGCAGGUUGAGGCGAAAUUAAUUGUUGACCAUUCGGGUGGAAAUCCAACAUCAGGAACAUUGUGCUCAUGCCAUCUGCUUGCUUCUGGCAAGAGAGGAUGAAACUUUGCUAUUUCCCUUUGAGCAGAGUGUCUCAGGGUUUUCCCCGAUGCAAAGUGGACAGCCAACUUCAAAUUGUUGAUAACUUUCCAGAUCUACCCUGAAGGGAGCAUGAUAUAGUAAAGCUCAUUAGAUUACUAGAGGUUGUGCAGCAUAUUAUUUCAGCAUGGACUAGAUGGGCCAGAUGGCCUGUUUUUGUGCUGUAAUGUUCUAAGACUCUAUGCUACUUUCUUCAGAUUUCUACUGUUUACAGGUAAGCCUGCUGUUGUUUGACAGAAUUCACUGGUAAACUUUGUAUUGCCAAACCCAAACUUGACAGUUCAGAUUUAGUCCUUAAGCAGUGAUCUCAAUUUCAUUGUCACACCACCAGAGUCCAAGAGCAGGUAAGAAUGGGUUAAUGGCAGGGGAGGAUGGAAAACGUGUGUGAGGUAGGGGAGAGUGGAAGGAAAGGGCAGUAAUUCAAAGCAAGGGAAUAGGCCAGCAAGGUCAGGCUCAUGUGAUCCAUUAUCCUUGGUUGCCCUGCUUGGAAGCAGGAGGGUUUUACAAAAUCCUUGAAGCAGGUAAUACAAAAUCCUGCAGCAUCUACCACACCACUUACAGGACUAUGAACAACCAGAGAAAACAUUAAAUUCUUAUAAGAACUUUGCGUUGAUGAGAACAAUAUCCAAUAGAAAAAAAAGUAUGAGGCCUUGAUAAUCCCAUCAAAAAGUAUUUGUGGAAAUCUUUUUGCUUAAUGAAUGUUUGGUUGUGAGUGCACAAGAGAGGGCAGUGCUGGGGUGCAAUCAUUUAAGCAUGCUGAGUGACGUUAUUGAUUUGCACAUCUACUUAUUAAGCAGAUAUCAAUUGUAUGCAUACAAAUUAAUUUGUAAUGAUGUUGUCUGGCAUAAUUCAAGGCAUACUGUGUGCACAGGCAGUGGGUAUCAUGUUGCAUUUAGGUGCUAUUCACAGUAUGUUUAAUAUGAAUUUAAUGAUAAUAAAGUUAACUAUUGAUAUUUUCUCCACUCAUAAGUUUGUUAUAAAUGUUGUAUUAAAAUAUUAUUUCUUA
Molecule: long non-coding RNA, 7091 nt
Organism: Hypanus sabinus (Atlantic stingray)
Lineage: Eukaryota; Metazoa; Chordata; Chondrichthyes; Myliobatiformes; Dasyatidae
Exons: 3
Source: RefSeq, a predicted model, not a curated record